AUUGAACGCUGGCGGCAUGCCUAACACAUGCAAGUCGAACGGCAGCACAGCAGUAGCAAUACUGUGGGUGGCGAGUGGCGGACGGGUGAGGAAUACGUCGGAAUCUGCCCAGUCGUGGGGGAUAACUAGCCGAAAGGUUAGCUAAUACCGCAUACGACCGAGAGGUGAAAGCGGGGGACCGCAAGGCCUCGCGCGAUUGGAUGAGCCGACGUCGGAUUAGCUAGUUGGCGGGGUAAAGGCCCACCAAGGCGACGAUCCGUAGCUGGUCUGAGAGGAUGAUCAGCCACACUGGAACUGAGACACGGUCCAGACUCCUACGGGAGGCAGCAGUGGGGAAUUUUGGACAAUGGGGGCAACCCUGAUCCAGCCAUGCCGCGUGAGUGAAGAAGGCCUCGGUGUAAGCUCUUCGCGGAGAAGUACGCAUGGGCCGAA
Molecule: ribosomal RNA, 432 nt
Filed under: uncultured bacterium
Lineage: Bacteria
Description: bacterial SSU rRNA
Rfam family: Bacterial small subunit ribosomal RNA
Source: RNAcentral